GCGGGGUGUGUAACAGUAUUACAUAGGUGACUCAUACUGAGUUUUCUACCAGCUAAAACUCCGAAGUCUUUCUUCAUGACUGCUGCCGCCCCCCAGGCCUGCCCCGCACAUACACUGGUGCGGCUGGGUUUGAGCGUCAUAUAUAGGAACUCACGUUGUGAUAUCUUUUUUCCACUUGGCACACCAGAUGUUUCAGCAUCUGAUUUGUGUUAUACAUGUUUUCCUUCUUAAUUCUUUUUUUGUUUUUUGAAAUUCCAUUUUAGAUUUGCUAAAACAAAAUGAAAGAUGAUGCCAUUUUGCAUCAAUUUGGCAAAUUUAAAAAAAAAUCAGUAUUUCAAUUUCUGGAAGAAAGCAUGCGGGAUGAGGAUGGUGCAGUGGCAACAUUUUGAAAUCUGGGUUCUAAUUAAAGCCCCACCACUUACUAACUGUGAGAACUGCAGCAUCUUAACUUCUCUAAGCCUCAGUAUCUUCAUCUGGAAAACAGAUGCUAAUACUUACCUUGGUGGCUGAUUCAGUAAAUGGAGGCCAUCACAGGAGUGCCUUUACCAUGAGAAGGUCUUAGAAUGCUGGUCUCUACUGUGAAUUAGGUGCGAACUACAGGAUGCCUGUUUGCAUUCUCUGAUUUUUGUGUAGCCCUGAGAAAAUAUUUCAAGAAUAUGUUUAGCCCAUGUGCAUUACCUACUCCCUGGUUGCUGUCCUCAAACCCUAUUUUCACUCAAAAUCUCCUUGCCAUCACACACUUAGUGGUUUGCUGGAAGCAUGGGCUGUGGAGUAUAUCUUGGAUGGGGAGCCAUGAGCCCUGGUUCCAGUGCUGGCUCAGACUCCCAAGGCCACAGAGCCUUAUCCAAAAUAAGAUGAUUAAACUAGAUGACCCCUAGUUUAAUCUCUAGGUCCUUUCCAUCUUCUAUAAAUGUCUACUCACUGAGCCUCUAAGGCUAUGCUUCUCUAUUAAAACUCUUUUGAGCUACUCUUAGACUUGCCCAGGGUUAACAAGUAGUUAGAUGUCACUUUAAAAUGGGCUAGCCUAACACCUUCCUGUACAGCAUGAAUCUCUUCUCUGAGUGCUCAUAUUCUUUUUGUUUCCAAAACAAAACUCUGAAAAUGCAGAGUUGAUCCCAGUCUUGAAAGCUGGUGCCUUUUUUCUUGGUCUGUUUCUGGAAGAAGCACUUGAAAGACGGAUGAAAGGCCCAUAGAUGCUGUUGCACCUGGCCCUGGUCUGGAGCUGCCAGAUCACAGCACCACAACAUUUUCUUUUUUUUUUGGUGUUCAAAUAUAAUUUAUUCCUCAUCUGUCCCCCUAUACGACGUGAGCCCUGCAAGGGAGGGGAUGAAGCUGUCCAGUGCACGGAGAAGCGUCUGCAAACACGAUGACAAAACAUGCCCCUCUUCUCAUGUUAAGGCAUUUGUGGCAUCUGGAUCGUCUGUUUGCUGUUCACUUCUCCCUCCUGCGGCCACCCCACCAUGGGGGAUGCCGGAAACUCCCUCAGCACUUUCAACAGGCACCCAGUCUGGGAGCAGGAUGGAAAAUAUGUGCCCAAGGACAUUAUGGAGAAGGGACACCUACAUAGUUGGAUAAUGCUAGACAUCCGAGGCCACAAAUACUGUUGUCCUCUCUCUUCUGAGAACCUGAGAUCUAAGAAGGUCCAGGCUUAGAGUGCUACAGAAAUAGGGAUUUAUGAUACAAAAAGGGAAGAAUUUCCUAACUACCACCAUGGCUAUCAGGCACUGACAUGACUUACUUGUUAACGAGGUUGUAUGGAGUGAUUAAUAUGGCACAGAUGGGAGUCUUGCUGAGUGUUUUUCAUGUCCCUUCAUAGAGGCAGGGGCUGCGUGAAAGCACGAGAUGACAGGUGGGGUCUUGUAGCUUUGGGACUUGAUGGCUUCUCUCGAGGCCUCGUGAUAUGGUUGCAGUAUAUCGUCUUCCUUCUCUUCCUGCUUGCGCCCUCAUCCUAUUUUCUCCCUUCACUUCAUCCCGGUAUUCUUGGACCCUGCCUCCCUCCCACUAAGAUUCUGGUUCUAACUGAAGUAAAAAACUAGACCAACGUCACUUAUCUCAUUGUAUCUAUCACAGGCGGAUUUUUCAUAGUCCUUCUUGGAGAGAAAAGAGGACUGGGCUGAAAUGUUUCAGAGUUGGGAUACGUGUGAGAAUGUGGCAGAAAUGUUAGUGCGAUAGUUACAGUUUAGGCUUCAAGAGACCUCAAGCACUUCAACUCUCUUUCGGAGCACUGCCUCCACCAGAACAAUGCCAAGCUAGCUGCGGGAAGAUGAGAGACCACGUGGAGUAGAGAUGAAUUAUUCCAGCUGCGAUCAUCCUAGAGCAGCCAGCUGACCUGCCAGCCAACAGCAGAUGACAAAGCCUGGACACAAUGAAACAAGACCAGAACCGCCC
Molecule: long non-coding RNA, 2388 nt
Filed under: Equus caballus (horse)
Lineage: Eukaryota; Metazoa; Chordata; Mammalia; Perissodactyla; Equidae
Description: lncRNA (ENSECAG00000049095.1)
Source: RNAcentral